UUUUUUUUUUUUUUUGUAUAGACAUUUGUGUGUUGAUCUUGUAUCUUGUAACAUUACUGAAUUUAUUAGCUCUCAAGUUUUGUUGUGUGUGUGUGUAUGAAUUCUUUAGAAUUUUUAAUAUAUAGGAUCAUGUCAGCUACAGUCUUACUUCUUCCUAAUUGAGAUUCCUUUUAUUUCUUUUUCUUGCCUAACUGCUCUUGCUAGAACUUCUGGUGCAAUGUUGACUAGCAGUGGUUAAGAGGGCUUUUUCCUGAUCUUAAAGAGAUAGUUUUCAAUCUUUCACCAUUUAGUAUGUUGUUAACUGUGGGUUUUUCACGAAUGCCUUUCAAUAGUUUGAGGAAAUUCCAUUUCUCCCUAGUUUGUGGAAUGUUUUUUUAACAUGAAAGGGUGUUGGAUUUUGUCAAAUUAUUUUUCUUAUCAAUUGAGAUGAUCAUGUUGUUCAUAUCUCCCUUCAUUCUUCUUAUAAUAAAGAGCUUUGUUUUCAAGUCAUUGUCCUAGUUUCUUCUAGCUGUUGAUUCCUUCAUGCUACUAAUGUGAUAUAUUACAUUGAUUGAUUUUCAUAUGGUGAAACAUCCUUGUAUUCCUACAAUAAAUAUUACUUUGUCAUAGUGUAUACUCUUUGUCUGGCUUGGUAUCAAAGUAAUGCUAGUCUUAUUGAAUAAAUUAGGAAGUGUUCCUCCUAUUUUUUUUUUUUUGGACGAGUUUAAGAGGAAUUGCUGUUAACUUCUCUUUAAAUGUUUGGUAGAAUUCACUAGUGAAUCCACCUGCUGCUGUACCUUCUUUGUUGGGAGAUUUUGAUUAUUGAUUCAAUCACUUUACUUGUUUUAGGUCUGUUCAGACUUUUUAUUUCUUUUUGAGUCAGUUUUGGUAUUUUGUGUUUCUAGGAAUUUGCCCAUUUCAUCUAGGUUAUCUAAUUUUUUUGGCAAUAAAGCCUUUUUGAUAAGUAAAUUUGUUUAUGGUUCAGUCAUCCAAAAUGCCAUGCAAUUUAUCUAAUAUUUAUAAAAUGUGAAGUAUAUACACGUUUUCUUACAUUUACCUUUCUAAAGCAAAUUGUAUGUAAAAUUCCAUGAGAUUUAAACAAAAUUUCCCCACGAGGCUAAAGAACCAAAAUUUUCUGAGAGGAGUAUGACCAGUAUAAAUUUUACUUCUAAAAAGCAUAAACUUUUUUCAUUUUCUUUUUGUUAAAAUAAAUGAUUGUUCAUUUAUUAAAAUGAAACCUCUCUUUUUCUACCUAGAGAAAGAAAUGAGUAUGGACUCUCAUGCAGAGUGCCUGCAUUCAAAUUCCUGUCCUACCACUUACUUGCUAUUUGUGAGCAUAGGGUAACUUCUCUGUGCCUCGGUCUCCUCACCUGUAAGAAUGAGAAUAAUAAUAGAACCUACCUCAUAAGGCUGUUGUGAUGGUUAAGUGCAUUAAUGCGUGCAAAAAACUUAGUUCUUAAUUCAUAAUAAGCAUUCAGUAUUAACAAACAUUAUUUUUAUAAGGUAUCAGUAAUUGAGGUUAAAAUAAAGAACAUCUAGACAUAAUCAUCAAUGAAAAAGCAAGUAAAAGGCAGCAAUGUUGGAUGAUGGGUACAAAAAAGAGUCAUAUUUUCCUCUAGAUUUAUAAGACCCCAGACUAGGAGAAGAAUGAAUGUUUUGGCAAGUGUUCUGUCACUAGAAAAGAAAUGGUUCUCUUAAUUGGUAUUCAGGAAAGCAGGUCCUCUUGACUAUAGUUGACCUUUGAGCAACAUGGGUUUGAAUGGUACGGGUCCACUUAUAUGAGGAUUUUUUUGAUCAAUAUAGUACUGUACAUGUAUUUUUCUCUUCCUUAUGAUUUUUUAUAUAACAUUUUCUUUUCUGUAGCAUUCUUUAAGAAUACAGUAUAUAAUACAUGCAAUAUACAAAAUGUGUGUUAGCCAUCCGUUUGUAUUAUUAAGGCUUCUUGGUCAACGGUAAGCUAUCAGUAGUUAAGUUUUGAGGGAGUCAAAGUUGUAUGCAGAUUUUUUGCUGUGCAGGGAGUUGGCACCCCUAAACCCUGUGUUGUUCAAGGGUCAACUGUACAAAACUGUUUUUUUUAAAAAGGCUCUCUCUCAGGGUAGAAAAAUCAAAGGCACUAUUCAUGAAUCCCAUAAAGGAAAGGAAGGUCCUCAGAGAGGAGAAUCAGUUCUUUUAAAAUGAGUCUGGCCUCCACCAUGGGCCACAGGUAAUCAGAGAGUGGAUGGUGAGUGUUCAAAGGAAUAAUCACAACUAUAAGUACUUCCUUUCA
This 2245-nucleotide long non-coding RNA is filed under the name Canis lupus familiaris (dog). RNAcentral describes it as "lncRNA (ENSCAFG00000053053.1, ENSCAFG00845004766.1)". Lineage: Eukaryota; Metazoa; Chordata; Mammalia; Carnivora; Canidae. The record is from RNAcentral.